This 494-nucleotide ribosomal RNA is filed under the name uncultured bacterium. RNAcentral describes it as "partial 16S ribosomal RNA". It matches the Rfam family "Bacterial small subunit ribosomal RNA", at positions 28 to 507 of the family's 1533-position model. The record is from RNAcentral.
GACGAACGCUGGCGGCGUGCUUAACACAUGCAAGUCGAACGGUGAAGCGCCUUCCUUGUUGGUCGGUCUGUAUGGGUGGCGAACGGAUGAGUAACACGUUAAUCACCUUCCCCCUCCUUCUUGACAACCGCAUACAGGUGUGGCUAAUACGGGAUAUUCUGGGCCUGUUGCAUGAUGGGUCUGGGACAGUUUUUGUUUCGGUUGUGGAUGGGCUCGCGGCCUAUCAGCUUGUUGGUGGGGUGAUGGCCUACCAAGGCGGUGACGGGUAGCCGGCCUGAGAGGGUGGGGGGACACAGUGGGACUGAGACACGGCCGAGACUCAGAGGGGACGCAGCAGGGGGGAAUACUGCACAAUGCGAGCAAGCCUGAUGGAGCGACGCCGCGUGAGGGAUGGAGCCCUGCGGGGUGUAAAUCUCUUUCGAGAGUGAAGCAGGCCUGCCUCGUUUGUGGGUGGGUUGACGGUAGCUGGAUAAGAAGCGCAGGCUAACUACGUG